RNAcentral lists this ribosomal RNA (492 nucleotides) under uncultured bacterium. Its description in RNAcentral is "partial 16S ribosomal RNA". It matches the Rfam family "Bacterial small subunit ribosomal RNA", at positions 29 to 507 of the family's 1533-position model. The record is from RNAcentral.
AGUGAACGCUGGCGGUAGGCCUAACACAUGCAAGUCGAACGGCAGCACAGUAAGAGCUUGCUCUUACGGGUUGCGAGUGGCGGACGGGUGAGGAAUACAUCGGAAUCUACUUUUUCGUGGGGGAUAACGUAGGGAAACUUACGCUAAUACCGCAUACGACCUACGGGUGAAAGCAGGGGAUCUUCGGACCUUGCGCGAUUGAAUGAGCCGCUGUCGGAUUAGCUAGUUGGCGGGGUAAAGGCCCACCAAGGCGACGAUCCGUAGCUGGUCUGAGAGGAUGAUCAGCCACACUGGAACUGAGACACGGUCCAGACGCCUACGGGAGGCAGCAGUGGGGAAUAUUGGACAAUGGGCGCAAGCCUGAUCCAGCCAUACCGCGUGGGUGAAGAAGGCCUUCGGGUUGUAAAGCCCUUUUGUUGGGAAAGAAAAGCAGCAGGUUAAUACCCCGCUGUUCUGACGGUACCCAAAGAAUAAGCACCGGCUAACUUCGUG